This is a small nucleolar RNA of Rhinolophus ferrumequinum (greater horseshoe bat), 131 nucleotides long. The record is from Ensembl. NCBI's taxonomy places the organism in Eukaryota, Metazoa, Chordata, Mammalia, Chiroptera, Rhinolophidae.
GAGCACUGUUCGUGACCUGUUAAUCUGGCUAUGGCUAACAGGUUCCAUUCCAGUGCCACAGCAGUUCCAGUGACAUGUACGAGUAUGAUUGACUGACUGGUGGCUCUCAGUUUCAGGUCUUGGAGACAAAG